This 29-nucleotide non-coding RNA is filed under the name Mus musculus (house mouse). Lineage: Eukaryota; Metazoa; Chordata; Mammalia; Rodentia; Muridae. The record is from RNAcentral.
UGUAAAAGGAAAGCCCCUGAUAUUCCCAC